This 510-nucleotide ribosomal RNA is filed under the name Chalarus sp. A. RNAcentral describes it as "partial 16S ribosomal RNA". Lineage: Eukaryota; Metazoa; Arthropoda; Insecta; Diptera; Pipunculidae. The record is from RNAcentral.
CGGUCUGANCUCAGAUCACGNAAGAUUUUAAAGUCGAACAGACUUAUUAUUUAAACUACUGCACCUAAAUUAAUAUCUUAAUCCAACAUCGAGGUCGUAAUCUUUUUUAUUAAUAUGAACUUUCCAAAAAAAUUACGCUGUUAUCCCUAAAGUAACUUAAAUUUUUAAUCAAUAAUAAUGGAUCAAGUAACCAAAAAUAAUUGUAAUUAUAAAUUAAAAGUUAUAUAAAUUUUAAUAUCACCCCAAUAAAAUAAUACAAAUUAUUAAAAUAAAAUUUUUCAAAAAAAUUAUAAUAAUUUAAUUAUAAAGAUUUAUAGGGUCUUCUCGUCUUUUAAAAAAAUUUUAGCUUUUUUACUAAAAAAUAAAAUUUUAUAAAAAUUUUAAUUGAAACAGUUAAUAUCUCGUCCAAUCAUUCAUUCCAGCCUUCAAUUAAAAGACUAAUUAUUAUGCUACCUUUGCACAGUUAAAAUACUGCGGCCAUUUAAUAUAAAUUAUCAAUGGGCAGAUUAG